ACGCGAAGAACCUUACCUGCUCUUGACAUCCAGAGAACUUACCAGAGAUGCUUUGGUGCCUUCGGGAACUCUGAGACAGGUGCUGCAUGGCUGUCGUCAGCUCGUGUUGUGAAAUGUUGGGUUAAGUCCCGCAACGAGCGCAACCCUUAUCCUUUGUUGCCAGCGGUUCGGCCGGGAACUCAAAGGAGACUGCCAGUGAUAAACUGGAGGAAGGUGGGGAUGACGUCAAGUCAUCAUGGCCCUUACGACUAGGGCUACACACGUGCUACAAUGGCGCAUACAAAGAGAAGCCACCUCGCGAGAGCAAGCGGACCUCAUAAAGUGUGUCGUAGUCCGGAUUGGAGUCU
This 347-nucleotide ribosomal RNA is filed under the name uncultured Enterobacter sp. RNAcentral describes it as "SSU rRNA". It matches the Rfam family "Bacterial small subunit ribosomal RNA", at positions 959 to 1306 of the family's 1533-position model. Lineage: Bacteria; Pseudomonadati; Pseudomonadota; Gammaproteobacteria; Enterobacterales; Enterobacteriaceae. The record is from RNAcentral.